GUAAAAAUUUAAGACCUUUCCUGCCUAGCAAUUUGGACUCGAUAGGAAGUAAUAAUGUAUACCGUGUAAUAUGAAUAGUGCUUGUUUUCGUAACGUACGAAUGUAGUGGAAUUACAUAAAACGCAAUUGAUUUAAGGCCAGCACUUUUUUAUCUGCUGGUGACGAAGUGGUUGUCAUUCAUACAUACAAUAUUUUAUUGCUGGUUUUGGUGGUAAAUUUGCAUUGUUAACGGCCGCGGCCAGACGUGCCCCGCUUCUUUAACACACACGUCUCUCAAACGAAUACCGAUCAUCAAGUGUUUCCCCUAUUGACUCUCGUAUAUAGCAACACGUAAAAACCAAUAUAUAGCGAUACUGAUACCGAAAGCAACUAAACCGAAAGUGUAUACUAAAUACAUCCCCGUAUGUACCACAUAAGACUGCCAUCUGCCCCUUGCGUUGCCGUGCCGUGCCGUUGACACUUUUGUAUCUGGCCAUAUUCGUAUCUGUAUCUCAAACUCACUGACCAACUACUGCAAGCGCAAAUGCAAAUGUAAUCUGCAAAAUGCAAACUGCACACCUGAAUCUCAGCGCAAGUCUUAAACGUUUAAUCCUCGAACUGCCUACAAUACCAACCAACCUAUCAGCCAUCCUGAGCCAAUCAACCAACCAACCUAUCAACGGUCUACCGCAACUGGCAAACCAAACAGCUUUAGUUUGUAAGCUUUAAUUAUUUUUUUUUUUUUUUUUGUAAACCUGUUAAUUAUACAAACAAUCAAAGACUGAAUAAUUAUUUGUAAUUGUCCUCUGUUCUCCUAAUGGUUCCCAAAUACGGUCGAUCUCUAACCCAUCAAUUUAAGCUAUAUACUAUAUACGACAACACGACUUUGUCACACUGUUUGUUUUACUUUGCACAUGUUCGUUUUCUAUUUUACGCCUAGUAUUUACUAUAUUACCUACCUAUAGAGCACACACACACACACACCCACAACACAUGGCCCAUGUACGUUAAGUGUAACCCUCUUUAACUGUCGCUCUGUUGAUCUGGAAUCUUUCGAUUGUACUAACUGCCCGCCGGGCGAUAAGUGAUAAGUUUGUAAUCAGUCAUCCGCCCCUCGACCUCGAUCCAUACAUAUCCACCAAACCCGAAGCCGAAAGCAGAAUAGAAACCGAAACCCAAAGCGCUACACACAAAAAAAAAAACAGGGCCACUAAUAUUGUUUUUGUUAUGUUGACACAUUCAUGUAAAACACAUAAAUAUGUAUUAGGUCAAUUGAUAAGUCCUCGUCCUCACACAGAAUUUGUUAGCUUUCGGUCCAUAUCCAAAUCCUCAGGUCUCAAAGGAAUGCUCGCUGGGAAGAAAUUAACGUCGAAUGAAGAAGUGAUCGCGAAAAGUGACGCCUAUUUGAAAGCAAAGGAGAAAUCCUACUACAUAAAUGGUAUUGAAAAAUUGAAGCGAACUUUGUUGAAUGAAAAACUUAAAUUUGGCAGAAAAAAAAAUGUUUACUGUGGUAGGUCGGGGACUUUUUAAUGGACCUGUUAUGUAUAUGUGGGAGGGGCGGCUUAACGAUGGGUUAUUGUGUUUAACAACUUAAAAUGGAAACGCUGAAAGUGUAAAAUUUAUCGUUACCACAUAUCAUGGCAGACGGAGUCGGCGGAGUUAGUUCACAUAUACACAUACAUACAUAUGUACUACCUAUGUACCCGUAACUGUUAACUUUAUAUCUAUAUCUAUAUAUAUCGUAUCUGUAUUUGUAUCGGCAGCUUUUCCACAUACCCCCUAUACAUGAAUUUAUAUACAUUUAUAUCGUACUUAUACCUAUAGUUGAAAAACUAACCACGCACGUAUCUCAUCUCAGUUCCAUAUAAUUGAAAACCUAUUAAAGCUACACUCUUUAAACAAACUG
This is a non-coding RNA of Drosophila melanogaster (fruit fly), 1885 nucleotides long. Lineage: Eukaryota; Metazoa; Arthropoda; Insecta; Diptera; Drosophilidae. The record is from Ensembl.